This 499-nucleotide ribosomal RNA is filed under the name uncultured bacterium. RNAcentral's name for it is "partial 16S ribosomal RNA". It matches the Rfam family "Bacterial small subunit ribosomal RNA", at positions 27 to 507 of the family's 1533-position model. The record is from RNAcentral.
GGACGAACGCUGGCGGCGUGCCUACUCCAUGCAAGUCGAACGAGAGCAACCGGUGCUUGCACUGGUCAAUCUCGUGGCGAACGGGUGAGUAACACGUGGGUAACCUGCCCAUCAGAGGGGGAUAACAUCCGGAAACGGAUGCUAAAACCGCAUAGGUCUUCGAACCGCAUGGUUUGAAGAGGAAAAGAGGCGCAAGCUUCUGCUGAUGGAUGGACCCGCGGUGCAUUAGCUAGUUGGUGAGGUAACGGCUCACCAAGGCCGUGAUGCAUAGCCGACCUGAGAGGGUGAUCGGCCACAUUGGGACUGAGACACGGCCCAAACUCCUACGGGAGGCAGCAGUAGGGAAUCUUCCGCAAUGGACGCAAGUCUGACGGAGCAACGCCGCGUGAGUGAAGAAGGUUUUCGGAUCGUAAAACUCUGUUGUUAGAGAAGAACAAGUGCUAGAGUAACUGUUAGCGCCUUGACGGUAUCUAACCAGAAAGCCACGGCUAACUACGUG